Molecule: ribosomal RNA, 253 nt
Filed under: uncultured bacterium
Lineage: Bacteria
Description: partial 16S ribosomal RNA
Rfam family: Bacterial small subunit ribosomal RNA
Source: RNAcentral
UACGAAGGGGGCUAGCGUUGUUCGGAAUCACUGGGCGUAAAGGGCGCGUAGGCGGCCGAUCAAGUCGGGGGUGAAAGCCUGUGGCUCAACCACAGAAUUGCCUUCGAUACUGUUUGGCUUGAGACCGGAAGAGGUUGGUGGAACUGCGAGUGUAGAGGUGAAAUUCGUAGAUAUUCGCAAGAACACCAGUGGCGAAGGCGGCUGACUGGUCCGGUUCUGACGCUGAGGCGCGAAAGCGUGGGGAGCAAACAGG